AAGAAAUUAGAGAUAUAUUUAAAAAGAAGAAAAAUUGAAAAUUCCAAUUUCUCUCUAAUUUCUCUUCUCUUUCUCAUCUUUAUUGAUGGAUGAUUAGAAACUUAGGAGCACAAAGACUGCUGUGCUCCUAAUAGCACAGUAGCCCUACUAUUUAUUUAUUAUAUAUAUUUAUUUAAUAUAUAUAGUAUUUUAUUUCUAUAUAGAUAUAUUAUUAUAUAAUAAUUUAUUAUAUAAUUUACUAUUUAUUUUUAUGAAAUGUAAAAUAUAUAAAAAAAAUAUUAAA
RNAcentral lists this long non-coding RNA (283 nucleotides) under Ananas comosus (pineapple). Its description in RNAcentral is "long non-coding RNA (ACOM_LNC020183)". The record is from RNAcentral. Lineage: Eukaryota; Viridiplantae; Streptophyta; Magnoliopsida; Poales; Bromeliaceae.